RNAcentral lists this ribosomal RNA (534 nucleotides) under Jeotgalibacillus campisalis. Its description in RNAcentral is "bacterial SSU rRNA". It matches the Rfam family "Bacterial small subunit ribosomal RNA", at positions 78 to 596 of the family's 1533-position model. Lineage: Bacteria; Bacillati; Bacillota; Bacilli; Caryophanales; Caryophanaceae. The record is from RNAcentral.
GCUUGCUCCAAUUUAGUUAGCGGCGGACGGGUGAGUAACACGUGGGCAAUCUGCCCGUAAGACUGGGAUAACUCCGGGAAACCGGGGCUAAUACCGGAUAAUCCCGACUCUCUCCUGAGAGUCGGUUGAAAGAUGGUUUCGGCUAUCACUUACGGAUGAGCCCGCGGCGCAUUAGCUAGUUGGUGAGGUAAUGGCUCACCAAGGCGACGAUGCGUAGCCGACCUGAGAGGGUGAUCGGCCACACUGGGACUGAGACACGGCCCAGACUCCUACGGGAGGCAGCAGUAGGGAAUCUUCCGCAAUGGACGAAAGUCUGACGGAGCAACGCCGCGUGAGUGAUGAAGGUUUUCGGAUCGUAAAACUCUGUUGUUAGGGAAGAACACGUACGAGAGUAACUGCUCGUACCUUGACGGUACCUAACCAGAAAGCCACGGCUAACUACGUGCCAGCAGCCGCGGUAAUACGUAGGUGGCAAGCGUUGUCCGGAAUUAUUGGGCGUAAAGCGCGCGCAGGUGGUUCCUUAAGUCUGAUGUG